RNAcentral lists this transfer RNA (70 nucleotides) under Pseudexostoma brachysoma. Its description in RNAcentral is "tRNA-Asp". Lineage: Eukaryota; Metazoa; Chordata; Actinopteri; Siluriformes; Sisoridae. The record is from RNAcentral.
GAGACACAAGUAUAAACCAUUACAUCACCUUGUCAAGACAAAAUUGUAGGUUAAAACCCUGCGUAUCCCC